Molecule: long non-coding RNA, 3232 nt
Organism: Cicer arietinum (chickpea)
Lineage: Eukaryota; Viridiplantae; Streptophyta; Magnoliopsida; Fabales; Fabaceae
Source: RefSeq, a predicted model, not a curated record
AAGGAAAGAAACCUUAGAUGAAAAUCCUUCUAUUGUACUUUUCAAACCCCUUAAGGUAUGCUCAUUAUAACUCUCUUCGAUGUGGCUGCUAUAAUGGGUCUUAAACCAACAGGUUGAGUUUUAACCUUAAACUUAGUUUGAACCAGUCUUGUCAUCCUUGAGUUAUAUUCAAUUCAUCCAAAACAAUAAUGCAAACUCAAGAGAUGUCUCUAACAAGGAGCACAUUGCAUUUCCUUUAUUUUGGCAACACCACUGUGCCUUUUUUUGCUCAAAAUCAAUUUCCAUAGGAAAAACCUUACUUCCUUUGGCUAGACUUCUUCAUAAGGGUAAAAUCAUCAGUUUGAGAAACCUUCUUUUAGCUCAACUCUUCUAAUAUCUUGGUGACUUAUAUGAAAUUCUCUCAAAAAAAUGAAGAUUUAAUUUCAAAUGUAGAUGACCCCUUUUGGCUUUUGCAAUUAUGGUUGAAUGUUGUUUAUCCUCUGAGUUUUCAUAAUUUAAGUGUUUCUCUACUUAUUUUUACACCGUAUGGACAAUAACUUGUUCUUCUCACUAAAAUUAUUCCUCAUAUUGAGUAUUUCUUAUUUCAGUAAUUGUUUCAAAUGUUUUUUUUUUUUACUUUAGACAAACAUCAUUGUUGUCUUGCCCCCAUUGUUGAUCGAAUUAUGUGACUUGUUUGGUUCACCCAAAGUCUCCCUUAUGAAACUAAUAGUGAAACCAUAGAGAUAUGGAGUGACUUUUUAAAUGGUUGAUUGUUCCCUUUAGGUCUAACUUGUUUCAAGGCAAUUUGGUUUCGGCUGAAGGCUACCCACUUCUAUUCUCUUAACCACCAAAGAUAUUCUUUUGUCUGGCCAGUUGUCUUGGUCUUCCUUCGAGCUCAGUGAGAAAAAUAGAAAAAAUUUGAAGCUAGAGUAUUGCCUCAUACAUCUUGUCAAGUGUUUUUACACUACAAUUAGCUUUCACAUAUGGUGGAAAUGGUAUUUCAACAACAUUUUGAAGGAAUUUGAUGAUUGCUUCAAAAGUUAACUUGUUGAUACUUCUUCUUUGCAAAUAGGGAAUCCUAACACCAAGAGACCAACUAUGUAUCUCGAGGAAAAUAUCAAAUUCGAGAAAUAUUUUAAGAAUGCUUACAAAAUUAAAGAACUUGGUAGAAUUUUGAAGUAUGCUCCUGAAGUUUUACUUGAGAAGAUUAAGGCUAGGAAAGAAAACUCAAAUUUGAUGCAGAAAUUUAAAACUAAAUCUUCGAACAUUGUGAAUUCAAAUUCUUUUGUCCUAAAUUCUCUACUUUACCGAAUGCUCCAUUUGGAGUAGCAAAACCCCUUCUUGACCCAAAAGGGUUUAUGCCCCUUUAAGUUGGAUAUUCUUUAUAAAAAAUCUAAGUCACAAAAAGUUAUAGAUAGUUCAUGCCACCUUUGGAUUUUCUCAUUUAAUCUUGGUAUUGACUUUCGUGCAAGCAAACUAUUCCUUGAACCAAAAGGUAGUCUUUCUUACCUUUGUGCAAUAUGUAUUCUAUAUUUAUCUAACUUUGGUUAACUUUCAACAAAUGAUGUACCAACCAAUGUUUCGAAGAAGGAUUUCAAGAAGAAAAGUUCACGGGAUCUGUUUCCAAUGAUAUAAUCCUUAGAGGAAGAUGAGGCUCCAAAGAAAAAGAAGAUCAACGUUAAAUCUAAGAUAGUCCCGUCAUCAACCCACUCUUCGGCCCCUGAGGAUGAAGUUCUUGAGAGUCCUUGGAAAAGGAAAUCUCGAAGCCAAAUGGAUCAAGAGUCUUCUAAACGCAACAAAAGGCUUGUGAAUGUUGAUGUAGUGGACUGUGUCAUAGAUGAUGAUAGCAUGCCCAUUGGCACUAUAAUUUCGAAGCUUGAAUCAGAAGGAACCUGAAGGUGCAACCAGUUGAUCUUACUAAGAGAUUGAACCAUCCAUUCAUCCUGCUAAAACACCAAAGUCACCUCAACAUGUUUCUAAAAAUGAAGAACAAGGCCAAGGGAAUGGUAAUCUUGAUACUUUGAGUACCUCACCCAGAGUGGCCUUCUUUAGAAGAAAAGGGCUAAAGUGACACAAGUAAUUUAUCAUGUUUUACCACUAAAGUGACACAAUAGUUGAGGAAUUGUGGAACUAAAGAUGUCCAUAUCAACAAAAUCAAAGUAUUUGUUAAUGUCAUACAAGGAAGAUAUGGAUUUAUGUGGGGAGACAAAUACUGGAGACAGUUGAGAUGUUUUCUCAAAAUGAAUUUGGUAGAAAAGAUGACUUUGAAGAAUUGGAUUCUAAAAUGAGUGUGGUGUUGGGAUACCAAAAGCAUGAACAUUUUCAAGUGGGUGGAUUUAGAUUUAUUGGUGGAGAAGGGAAGAACGUUGUUCUAGAAAGAAAAACAUUCUUGAGGAAUGUUGACUCCAAAAUUCUGAGUAUUUGGGUUUAAAGAUGUUUUCCUAUCAGAGCAUUUCCUUUUGAUGGGACCAAGAGAGAAAGGAGAUUGAUCUUGAGGGAUAUGUUGAGUUGGGGGAAGCGAUGAAUCUUUUUCAUGUGGGAGAUGUUUUUGGAAGAUAAUUUUGAAAUUUUGAUAAUGGAUUUUUCAUUUCUUAGAGGGACAUUGAAGUAUUUGAAAAUUUUAGUGACAAUCAUACUAUAGGGAACAAUAUUGCUUUUGUAAUCAUGAGUGGUGAAGGCUAUCAUUAUCUGAAUGAUGACGUAGAGAAGGUUGAGUCUUUUGCAAUGGAGGAGGUGAUAGAUGAUCAAGAAAUCAUUAUUAGAAACAUACUCAUGACUACCACAAUAUGGAAAACCAAAUGUUGACUGAUAUUGUUGAAAAUUUUGGGAAAGGGUUUGAAAUAUGCACACACAAAAUUUGUUGAUUUAGGAAUGAAGAGCUCAUUGAAAACUACAUCUUUGUUGAUAUUUAGAGCAGAAUGCCAAUCUUUUCCAAAUAUGGUUGGCCCUUAUGUGGGUAGAUGUAGAAUUUCAGCCAAACUUGCAGAAGUCAGACGAAUUUCAACCCCUUUUUGAGUGGUGAUUUAGAAGAAGGGGCAGGGUGUGUGAGUGGAGGUGGGGAACCAGAUUCAUCAUCUGAGAUGGUGUAGAUGGUUGUGUCCACACUUUUUGAUUGUUUAAACUUUUUGAUUGUGUCCACACUUUUUGAUUGUUUGGAGGUACCAACUCCAGCUAUGAUAAAUAUGUUGUAAAAAUGUUUAACGUAAAGUUACAAUUCUCAUGUGUCUUAGUGUACUUAAUUAUAAAUUUCAAA